Molecule: ribosomal RNA, 439 nt
Filed under: uncultured bacterium
Lineage: Bacteria
Description: partial 16S ribosomal RNA
Rfam family: Bacterial small subunit ribosomal RNA
Source: RNAcentral
CCUACGGGUGGCAGCAGUGGGGAAUAUUGCACAAUGGGCGAAAGCCUGAUGCAGCAACGCCGCGUGAGCGAUGACGGCCUUCGGGUCGUAAAGCCCUGUCCUCAAGGAAGAUAAUGACGGUACUUGAGGAGGAAGCCCCGGCUAACUACGUGCCAGCAGCCGCGGUAAUACGUAGGGGGCUAGCGUUAUCCGGAAUUACUGGGCGUAAAGGGUGCGUAGGUGGGUUCUUAAGUCAGAGGUGAAAGGCUACGGCUCAACCGUAGUAAGCCUUUGAAACUGGGAAUCUUGAGUGCAGGAGAGGAGAGUGGAAUUCGUAGUGUAGCGGUGAAAUGCGUAGAUAUUAGGCAGAACACCAGUGGCGAAGGCGGCCUGCUGGGCUUUUACUGACGCUGAGGCUCGAAAGUGUGGGGAGCGAACAGGAUUAGAUACCCCUGUAGUC